AGCCAGCAGUUCUAGGUAAUUGAGUUUCAUCAACGCCAUCUGCAAUCGCGUUGCGACACGCCGGCAACCGGCGAGCGACUGGCCGUCACCGUGUUUGCUUCUCGCGAAUCGACAGUUGCACCAAAUACUGACCCGUGUUCUAAUCGAUCGAUGCUAAUUCGUCUUGCGGUUUUUUUAACAACUUGUAGAUGGAUAUUAGUCGUAAUAAAGUUUGGCAACGCUAUUCAAAUCAAUGAA
Molecule: long non-coding RNA, 237 nt
Organism: Melitaea cinxia (Glanville fritillary)
Lineage: Eukaryota; Metazoa; Arthropoda; Insecta; Lepidoptera; Nymphalidae
Exons: 3
Source: RefSeq, a predicted model, not a curated record